This 431-nucleotide long non-coding RNA is filed under the name Cucumis sativus (cucumber). RNAcentral describes it as "long non-coding RNA (CSAT_LNC000747)". The record is from RNAcentral. Lineage: Eukaryota; Viridiplantae; Streptophyta; Magnoliopsida; Cucurbitales; Cucurbitaceae.
UGAUUUAGUAUCGCUACGGAACAUCCCUACUUAUCUGAUCCAUCUUUUACUGUUGUUGUGUUUCCGUGUUCUAUGUUACAUACUUCUUUCCUUGUAGAAAUGAAAUCUUGAUUUAGCCUAUUCCGAUGGGUUUCAAAUUGAAGGCGAUUUUUCUUUAUUACUCUGUUUUUCGUUGUUUUUCUCGUGGGAUCUCCAGUCUCCAACAGACCAUUUCCAUGCCAAACUCUUUUAACGGUUUAUUUUAAUAAAUUGAAUGAAAAGAUAUUAGGAUCUUUCAUUUCUGUAAUAUAGGUGCUUGAGAUUGGACUAUUCUGAAUGCUGAUUUUCCACUUGUUGGAUUUUAUGCUAUGAAGGACGUCGCAGUUGCGGAUCUUGCUCCCACUCAUCCGAUAAGGCUGGGGCUGGCACUCAAUUUCUCUGUGUUUUACUUC